AAUGCAGGCCGUCUUAUCGCUGCGGCAUAAUAUUUGCCGGAGAGGAAAGUCCGGGCAACGCAGAGCACCAUACUUCCUAACGGGAAGGGUUCCGUUUUUAACGGGAUACAGCCAGUGCCACAGAAAAUAACCGCCACCCUCAGCAAUGAGGAGGUAAGGGUGAAAAAGUGAGGUAAGAGCUCACUCGUGGUCCCGGUGACGGGCCAUUGGGGUAAACCUUAUGGGUUGAAAGACCAAAUAAACCCCACUUUCGACCGGUUUUGCCGGUGUAGACAGGGCUGCUCGUCCUGAGUUCUUCAAUGAAAUAGUGGGGAGGGUAGGUCGUUAGAACCCCGAAGUGAUUCGGGGGCUAGAUAAAUGAUAAGACUUCCGCUUCGGCGGCAGACAGAACCCGGCUUAUAGGCCUGCAUUCGUU
Molecule: RNase P RNA, 415 nt
Filed under: Natronocytophaga cellulosiphila
Lineage: Bacteria; Pseudomonadati; Bacteroidota; Cytophagia; Cytophagales; Cytophagaceae
Description: Cytophagaceae bacterium ABcell3 RNase P RNA component class A
Rfam family: Bacterial RNase P class A
About the family: Ribonuclease P (RNase P) is a ubiquitous endoribonuclease, found in archaea, bacteria and eukarya as well as chloroplasts and mitochondria. Its best characterised activity is the generation of mature 5'-ends of tRNAs by cleaving the 5'-leader elements of precursor-tRNAs.
Source: RNAcentral